UACGAAGGGUGCAAGCGUUACUCGGAAUUACUGGGCGUAAAGCGUGCGUAGGUGGUUUGUUAAGUCUGUUGUGAAAGCCCUGGGCUCAACCUGGGAAUUGCAGUGGAUACUGGACGACUAGAGUGUGGUAGAGGGUAGUGGAAUUCCCGGUGUAGCAGUGAAAUGCGUAGAGAUCGGGAGGAACAUCCAUGGCGAAGGCAGCUACCUGGACCAACACUGACACUGAGGCACGAAAGCGUGGGGAGCAAACAGG
RNAcentral lists this ribosomal RNA (253 nucleotides) under uncultured bacterium. RNAcentral describes it as "partial 16S ribosomal RNA". It matches the Rfam family "Bacterial small subunit ribosomal RNA", at positions 524 to 776 of the family's 1533-position model. The record is from RNAcentral.